This 416-nucleotide ribosomal RNA is filed under the name Escherichia coli. Its description in RNAcentral is "partial 23S ribosomal RNA". It matches the Rfam family "Bacterial large subunit ribosomal RNA", at positions 1220 to 1637 of the family's 2925-position model. Lineage: Bacteria; Pseudomonadati; Pseudomonadota; Gammaproteobacteria; Enterobacterales; Enterobacteriaceae. The record is from RNAcentral.
GUUGUUGGGUAGGGGAGCGUUCUGUAAGCCUGUGAAGGUGUACUGUGAGGUAUGCUGGAGGUAUCAGAAGUGCGAAUGCUGACAUAAGUAACGAUAAAGCGGGUGAAAAGCCCGCUCGCCGGAAGACCAAGGGUUCCUGUCCAACGUUAAUCGGGGCAGGGUGAGUCGACCCCUAAGGCGAGGCCGAAAGGCGUAGUCGAUGGGAAACAGGUUAAUAUUCCUGUACUUGGUGUUACUGCGAAGGGGGGACGGAGAAGGCUAUGUUGGCCGGGCGACGGUUGUCCCGGUUUAAGCGUGUAGGCUGGUUUUCCAGGCAAAUCCGGAAAAUCAAGGCUGAGGCGUGAUGACGAGGCACUACGGUGCUGAAGCAACAAAUGCCCUGCUUCCAGGAAAAGCCUCUAAGCAUCAGGUAACAU